This 452-nucleotide ribosomal RNA is filed under the name uncultured bacterium. Its description in RNAcentral is "bacterial SSU rRNA". It matches the Rfam family "Bacterial small subunit ribosomal RNA", at positions 28 to 480 of the family's 1533-position model. The record is from RNAcentral.
GAUGAACGCUAGCGGCAGGCUUAACACAUGCAAGUCGAGGGGUAUAGUUCUUCGGAACUAGAGACCGGCGCACGGGUGCGUAACGCGUAUGCAAUCUACCUUUUGCAGAGGGAUAGCCCCAGAGAAAUUUGGAUUAAUACCUCAUAGUAUAGCAGUUUCGCAUGAAACCACUAUUAAAGUCACAACGGCAAAAGAUGAGCAUGCGUCCCAUUAGCUAGUUGGUAAGGUAACGGCUUACCAAGGCUACGAUGGGUAGGGGUCCUGAGAGGGAGAUCCCCCACACUGGUACUGAGACACGGACCAGACUCCUACGGGAGGCAGCAGUGAGGAAUAUUGGACAAUGGGCGCAAGCCUGAUCCAGCCAUGCCGCGUGCAGGAUGACGGUCCUAUGGAUUGUAAACUGCUUUUGUACAGGAAGAAACACUCCCUCGUGAGGGAGCUUGACGGUACUG